GACGAACGCUGGCGGCGUGCUUAACACAUGCAAGUCGAACGGAAAGGCCCUGCUUUUGUGGGGUGCUCGAGUGGCGAACGGGUGAGUAACACGUGAGUAACCUGCCCUUGACUUUGGGAUAACUUCAGGAAACUGGGGCUAAUACCGGAUAGGAGCUCCUGCUGCAUGGUGGGGGUUGGAAAGUUUCGGCGGUUGGGGAUGGACUCGCGGCUUAUCAGCUUGUUGGUGGGGUAGUGGCUUACCAAGGCUUUGACGGGUAGCCGGCCUGAGAGGGUGACCGGCCACAUUGGGACUGAGAUACGGCCCAGACUCCUACGGGAGGCAGCAGUGGGGAAUAUUGCACAAUGGGCGGAAGCCUGAUGCAGCAACGCCGCGUGCGGGAUGACGACCUUCGGGUUGUAAACCGCUUUCGCCUGUGACGAGGCGUGAGUGACGGUAAUGGGUAAAGAAGCACCGGCUAACUACGUG
RNAcentral lists this ribosomal RNA (468 nucleotides) under uncultured bacterium. RNAcentral describes it as "partial 16S ribosomal RNA". It matches the Rfam family "Bacterial small subunit ribosomal RNA", at positions 28 to 507 of the family's 1533-position model. The record is from RNAcentral.